AGUGAACGCUGGCGGCAGGCCUAACACAUGCAAGUCGAGCGGCAGCGCGGGGGCAACCCUGGCGGCGAGCGGCGGACGGGUGAGGAAUGCAUCGGAAUCUACCUCGUUGUGGGGGAUAACGUAGGGAAACUUACGCUAAUACCGCAUGAGGCCGAGAGGUGAAAGUGGGGGACCCGCGAGGGCCUCACGCGAUGAGAUGAGCCGAUGCCGGAUUAGCUAGUUGGCGGGUAAAGGCCCACCAAGGCGACGAUCCGUAGCUGGUCUGAGAGGAUGAUCAGCCACACUGGAACUGAGACACGGUCCAGACUCCUACGGGAGGCAGCAGUGGGGAAUAUUGGACAAUGGGCGCAAGCCUGAUCCAGCCAUGCCGCGUGUGUGAAGAAGGCC
Molecule: ribosomal RNA, 387 nt
Filed under: uncultured bacterium
Lineage: Bacteria
Description: bacterial SSU rRNA
Rfam family: Bacterial small subunit ribosomal RNA
Source: RNAcentral